RNAcentral lists this ribosomal RNA (253 nucleotides) under uncultured bacterium. RNAcentral describes it as "partial 16S ribosomal RNA". It matches the Rfam family "Bacterial small subunit ribosomal RNA", at positions 524 to 776 of the family's 1533-position model. The record is from RNAcentral.
UACGGAGGGUGCAAGCGUUAUCCGGAUUCACUGGGUUUAAAGGGUGCGUAGGUGGGUUGGUAAGUCAGUGGUGAAAUCCCCGAGCUUAACUUGGGAAUUGCGCUCGAAACUACGUGGCUCGAGUGUGGCAGAGGGAGGUGGAAUUCCACGUGUAGCAGUGAAAUGCGUAGAGAUGUGGAGGAACACCGAUGGCGAAGGCAGCCCCCUGGGUUAACACUGACGCUCAGGCACGAAAGCGUGGGGAGCAAACAGG